UUUCCGUAGGUGAACCUGCGGAAGGAUCAUUAAUGAGUUAGGGUCUUCUAGGCCCGACCUCCCAACCCUUUGUUUACUGAACCAUUGUUGCCUCGGUGGGUCCGUCUUACGACCCCCGGGGGAUAGCCGCGAGUCGCCCCCUGGCCAGCGCCCACCGAUAGCCCAACCUUUAAAACCCUUUGUGAGUCGUGUCUUAUGUCUAAAUUUAUGAUUAAACAAUCAAAACAAGACUUUCAACAACGGAUCUCUUGGUUCUG
RNAcentral lists this unclassified non-coding RNA (257 nucleotides) under plant metagenome. RNAcentral describes it as "partial contains small subunit ribosomal RNA, internal transcribed spacer 1, and 5.8S ribosomal RNA". The record is from RNAcentral.